Molecule: ribosomal RNA, 301 nt
Filed under: uncultured bacterium
Lineage: Bacteria
Description: partial 16S ribosomal RNA
Rfam family: Bacterial small subunit ribosomal RNA
Source: RNAcentral
CAGUCGCCACGGUAAUACGGAGGGUGCAAGCGUUAAUCGGAAUUACUGGGCGUAAAGCGCACGCAGGCGGUCUGACAAGUCAGAUGUGAAAUCCCCGGGCUUAACCUGGGAACUGCAUUUGAAACUGUCAGGCUGGAGUCUUGUAGAGGGGGGUGGAAUUCCAGGUGUAGCGGUGAAAUGCGUAGAGAUCUGGAGGAAUACCGGUGGCGAAGGCGGCCCCCUGGACAAAGACUGACGCUCAGGUGCGAAAGCGUGGGGAGCAAACAGGAUUAGAGACCCCGGUAGUCCCUGUCUCUUAUAC